Molecule: ribosomal RNA, 984 nt
Filed under: human metagenome
Description: bacterial LSU rRNA
Rfam family: Bacterial large subunit ribosomal RNA
Source: RNAcentral
CCGUAACUAUAACGGUCCUAAGGUAGCGAAAUUCCUUGUCGGGUAAGUUCCGACCCGCACGAAAGGCGUAACGAUUUGGGCACUGUCUCAACGAUGGACUCGGUGAAAUCAUAGUACCUGUGAAGAUGCAGGUUACCCGCGACAGGACGGAAAGACCCCAUGGAGCUUUACUGUAGCUUGAUAUUGAAUUUUGAUGCAGUAUGUACAGGAUAGGUAGGAGCCAGAGAAUCAUGCACGCCAGUGUAUGAGGAGGCGUUGUUGGGAUACUACCCUUGCUGUAUUGAAAUUCUAACCCUCGGCGUAGAAGACCGGGAGACAGUGUCAGGUGGGCAGUUUGACUGGGGCGGUCGCCUCCCAAAGAGUAACGGAGGCGUUCAAAGGUUCCCUCAGAAUGGUUGGAAAUCAUUUGCAGAGUGUAAAGGCACAAGGGAGCUUGACUGUGAGACCUACAAGUCGAGCAGGUGCGAAAGCAGGACUUAGUGAUCCGGUGGUUCCGCAUGGAAGGGCCAUCGCUCAACGGAUAAAAGCUACCCUGGGGAUAACAGGCUUAUCUCCCCCAAGAGUUCACAUCGACGGGGAGGUUUGGCACCUCGAUGUCGGCUCAUCGCAUCCUGGGGCUGUAGUCGGUCCCAAGGGUUGGGCUGUUCGCCCAUUAAAGCGGUACGCGAGCUGGGUUCAGAACGUCGUGAGACAGUUCGGUCCCUAUCCGUCGUGGGCGUAGGAAAUUUGAGAGGAGCUGUCCUUAGUACGAGAGGACCGGGAUGGACGUAUCAAUGGUGUACCAGUUGUCACGCCAGUGGCAUAGCUGGGUAGCUAAAUACGGAAGGGAUAAGAGCUGAAAGCAUCUAAGCAUGAAGCCCCCCUCGAGAUGAGAUUUCCCACGGAUAUUAAGACCCCUUGAAGACGACAAGGAGAAUAGGUUAGGAGUGUAAGCACGGUAACGUGUUCAGCUGACUAAUACUAAUAGGUCGAGGACUUAAUCAA